AUCGCUUCUCGGCCUUUUGGCUAAGAUCAAGUGUAGAACUGGAGAAAGGAGCAGUGCCUUGGUAGUCUGCAUCUUUUUUUUUUUGGUUCUUUUUUUCGGAGCUGGGGACCGAACCCAGGGCCUUGCGCUUCCUAGGUAAGCGCUCUACCA
Molecule: small nuclear RNA, 150 nt
Gene: U2
Rfam family: U2 spliceosomal RNA
About the family: U2 is a small nuclear RNA (snRNA) component of the spliceosome (involved in pre-mRNA splicing). Complementary binding between U2 snRNA (in an area lying towards the 5' end but 3' to hairpin I) and the branchpoint sequence (BPS) of the intron results the bulging out of an unpaired adenosine, on the BPS, which initiates a nucleophilic attack at the intronic 5' splice site, thus starting the first of two transesterification reactions that mediate splicing.
Source: Ensembl